CCUACGGGAGUCAGCAGUGAGGAAUAUUUGUCAAUGGGCGCGAGCCUGAACCAGCCAAGUAGCGUGAAGGAUGACUGCCCUACGGGUUGUAAACUUCUUUUAUAAAGGAAUAAAGUGAGGCACGUGUGCCUCUUUGUAUGUAUUUUAUUAAUAAGGAUCGGCUAACUCCGUGCCAGCAGCCGCGUUAAUACUGAGGAUCCGAGCGUUAUCCGGAUUUAUUGGGUUUAAAGGGAGCGUAGAUGGGUUGUUAAGUCAGGUGUGAAAGUUUGCGGCUCAACCGUAAAAUUGCAAUUGAUACUGGCAGACUUGAGUACAGGUGAGGUAGGCGGAAUUCGUGGUGUAGCAGUGAAAUGCUUAGAUAUCAAGAAGAACUCCGGUUGCGAAGGCAGCCUACUAAACAGCCACUGACAUUGAUGCUCGAAAGUGUGGGUAUCAAAAAGGAUUAGAUACCCCAGUAGUC
Molecule: ribosomal RNA, 460 nt
Filed under: uncultured bacterium
Lineage: Bacteria
Description: partial 16S ribosomal RNA
Rfam family: Bacterial small subunit ribosomal RNA
Source: RNAcentral